Molecule: ribosomal RNA, 944 nt
Filed under: Psathyrella microrhiza
Lineage: Eukaryota; Fungi; Basidiomycota; Agaricomycetes; Agaricales; Psathyrellaceae
Description: LSU rRNA
Rfam family: Eukaryotic large subunit ribosomal RNA
Source: RNAcentral
GCAUAUCAAUAAGCGGAGGAAAAGAAACUAACAAGGAUUCCCCUAGUAACUGCGAGUGAAGCGGGAAAAGCUCAAAUUUAAAAUCUGGUGGUCUCCGGCCAUCCGAGUUGUAAUCUAGAGAAGUGUUACCCGCGUCGGACCGUGUACAAGUCUCCUGGAAUGGAGCGUCAUAGAGGGUGAGAAUCCCGUCUUUGACACGGACUACCGAGGCUUUGUGGUGCGCUCUCAAAGAGUCGAGUUGUUUGGGAAUGCAGCUCAAAAUGGGUGGUAAAUUCCAUCUAAAGCUAAAUAUUGGCGAGAGACCGAUAGCGAACAAGUACCGUGAGGGAAAGAUGAAAAGAACUUUGGAAAGAGAGUUAAACAGUACGUGAAAUUGCUGAAAGGGAAACGCUUGAAGUCAGUCGCGUUGGCCGGAAAUCAGCCUUGCUUUUGCGGGGUGUACUUUCUGGUUGACGGGCCAGCAUCAGUUUUGACCGGUGGAAAAAGUCCAAGGGAAUGUGGCAUCUUCGGAUGUGUUAUAGCCCUUGUUCGUAUACAUCGAUUGGGACUGAGGAACUCAGCACGCCGAAAGGCCGGGUCUUUGACCACGUUCGUGCUUAGGAUGCUGGCAUAAUGGCUUUAAUCGACCCGUCUUGAAACACGGACCAAGGAGUCUAACAUGCCUGCGAGUGUUUGGGUGGAAAACCCGGACGCGCAAUGAAAGUGAAAGUUGAGAUCCUUGUCAUGGGGAGCAUCGACGCCCGGACCAGAAGUUUUCUGACGGCCCUGCGGUAGAGCAUGUAUGUUGGGACCCGAAAGAUGGUGAACUAUGCCUGAAUAGGGUGAAAGCCAGAGGAAACUCUGGUGGAGGCUCGUAGCGAUUUCUGACGUGCAAAUCGAUCGUCAAAUUUGGGUAUAGGGGGCGAAAGACUAAUCGAACCAUCUAGUAGCUGGGUUCCUGCCGA